Molecule: long non-coding RNA, 384 nt
Organism: Osmia lignaria (orchard mason bee)
Lineage: Eukaryota; Metazoa; Arthropoda; Insecta; Hymenoptera; Megachilidae
Source: RefSeq, a predicted model, not a curated record
CAGAAGUACAAGGAACAAAAGGCGAAGUUGAAGAGAAGACCAGGGUCAUCAUUUUUGACAUCAAUUCCACGUUGUCUUCAGAAAUGAAGCCGGCCGAUACCGAAUGUUUCCGAACACUACCGAACAACACCGAACGUUAUCUGCCGGUCUUCGUUGGGAAGGAAGCUCAUGUCAUUCUUCUCGCGAACGUCGGGGUGAUAAGACGUGUUGAGAGUGUCCUUCUCUAUAAGCAGAUAUUUAGUUGAUAUUGAAGAGACGCCACAUGAUACGACGCUAUGACACAGAUAUUAGUUUGAAAUACAAUUUCGUAAAGAAUUGGUAACCUGUCAAUUUAUUGUAAUCAAUUAUUAAUAUUUAUUAUUACUUUUUUUUCAUUGAGUCGUC